Long non-coding RNA from Cucumis melo (muskmelon), 781 nucleotides. RefSeq lists it as uncharacterized. The record is from RefSeq and is a predicted model, not a curated record. Lineage: Eukaryota; Viridiplantae; Streptophyta; Magnoliopsida; Cucurbitales; Cucurbitaceae. The transcript is spliced from 2 exons.
UAAAAGGAGGAUUGGGGGUUCCAAACAGUACCAAACCAUCCAAACCCCAAAACCCUUCGAGGAUGGAAAGGGAGCGAACGGCGACAACGUAUGUUAGGGUUCCGGCCUCGGAAAAGAGAAAGAGAAUUGCCAUGCAAAUGCUCUUGAAGCGGCGAUUUCACAUGUGGAUUGCCUAAACCUGAGGGAAACCUGAUGUGAACCCCGCAAGUAACUUGAUUGUAAGUAGGCAAAAGGUGUAUCUUUGAUAGCUAAUGGAUCCAAUUUCUGGAUAGAUUAAUGGUUUUUCCGUAGAAAUUGGGGCAAAAAAACCAAGUCAAAAGUUCUUCAAGGUUUUGUUAUCUUAACUUUACCCUUUAUCCUUUGUGAACUCGACAUUAGCAACUGUCUUUGUUGACGAUAGCGAACACUCAGACACAGGACUUCACGACAUUAGCAAUAUUUUGUGCACAUUUCCAGGUGCCAAACGAGGGGAGUGCUUGAAGAUAUAUAAGGUACUUGAAGGGGAGGGACAUAGUUGUUUGCAACGUUUGUGAAGAACAUGAUAAACAUAUUACUGUUCUUUGUCUAGGAUAUUGGGAAUUUUCACGUAGAUUUUGAGGGCUGUCAAUUUUACUUAUUUGGUUUAACCGUGUUGUGUUUUACUUAGUCUUCAUAUGAAAGCUAUAUUAUUUUAUCUCUCCUAAUUACCCCCAAGCUAGCUUAUGUAUAAAGAAAUUGCUUGGUUCCCAGAUUGUGAUUUAUAUUAUCUUUUAACCAAUGAAACAUCUUUCUGUUAGUAUAA